UACGUAGGGGGCGAGCGUUACUCGGAAUUACUGGGCGUAAAGCGUGCGCAGGCGGCGCGUUAAGACAGGUGUGAAAGCCCCGAGCUUAACUUGGGAAUUGCGCUUGUGACUGGCGUGCUGGAGUGUGGCAGAGGGAGGUGGAAUUCCACGUGUAGCAGUGAAAUGCGUAGAUAUCAGGAGGAACACCGAUGGCGAAGGCAGGUCUCUGGGCUGACACUGACGCUCAUGCACGAAAGCGUGGGGAGCAAACAGG
This 253-nucleotide ribosomal RNA is filed under the name uncultured bacterium. RNAcentral describes it as "partial 16S ribosomal RNA". It matches the Rfam family "Bacterial small subunit ribosomal RNA", at positions 524 to 776 of the family's 1533-position model. The record is from RNAcentral.